Molecule: ribosomal RNA, 489 nt
Filed under: uncultured bacterium
Lineage: Bacteria
Description: partial 16S ribosomal RNA
Rfam family: Bacterial small subunit ribosomal RNA
Source: RNAcentral
AUUGAACGCUGGCGGCAGGCUUAACACAUGCAAGUCGAGCGGUAGCACAAGAGAGCUUGCUCUCUGGGUGACGAGCGGCGGACGGGUGAGUAAUGUCUGGGAAACUGCCUGAUGGAGGGGGAUAACUACUGGAAACGGUAGCUAAUACCGCAUAACGUCGCAAGACCAAAGAGGGGGACCUUCGGGCCUCUUGCCAUCAGAUGUGCCCAGAUGGGAUUAGCUAGUAGGUGGGGUAAUGGCUCACCUAGGCGACGAUCCCUAGCUGGUCUGAGAGGAUGACCAGCCACACUGGAACUGAGACACGGUCCAGACUCCUACGGGAGGCAGCAGUGGGGAAUAUUGCACAAUGGGCGCAAGCCUGAUGCAGCCAUGCCGCGUGUGUGAAGAAGGCCUUCGGGUUGUAAAGCACUUUCAGCGAGGAGGAAGGUGGUGAACUUAAUACGUUCAUCAAUUGACGUGACUCGCAGAAGAAGCACCGGCUAACUCCGU